AUGUCCUCUUACUUUUGACCGGUCAUCUCCUUCUUCCAAAUCGAGCCGCGACGUUCCCGACAGCUGAGGGUCGAACAAAUCCCCAACCCUAAUGGCCUGCCAACGGCGACGGCGGUGUAGAUCCUGUACCUAGCUGGGCGACCUUGGCUAUGGAGGAAGCUUUCCAUCUCUGCCCCUAGGUCUACCGAGCUGGGCGACCUUGGCUACUGGAGGAAUCCUGGUCGUGUCGUCGCCGGCGGUAGGGCUGCCCGGGGGGACCUCUCCUGUGUUGCGCCUCGACGCUGGCCGAGUGAAUCUCCAGCACAUAAACCUCGAUGAGCAAGAAGCACCAGCAACGAAGAUGCUUAUGUCCAAGUGGCUAGAUUACGAGGAGAGAGCAAGUCUUGCUAGAUGCCAAAACCCCUGUAACUCAGUGGUCUUUCCACUCUGCUUUGCACUGAGUUUGUAUCAGACUUGUACAUCAUGGACCAGUCCUUGCUGAGAAUUGAAAUGAGAAUUAUGUAAUUGUGCA
This is a long non-coding RNA of Triticum aestivum (bread wheat), 511 nucleotides long. RefSeq lists it as uncharacterized. Lineage: Eukaryota; Viridiplantae; Streptophyta; Magnoliopsida; Poales; Poaceae. The transcript is spliced from 2 exons. The record is from RefSeq and is a predicted model, not a curated record.